This 474-nucleotide long non-coding RNA is filed under the name Gallus gallus (chicken). Lineage: Eukaryota; Metazoa; Chordata; Aves; Galliformes; Phasianidae. The record is from RNAcentral.
UGCAAAGGUGGAGCAGGAGGACGCACUAGGGCUGGAAGAGCAGGGCUCUGGCAUGUACCACCAUUAUCACUUUUGAGAUUUCCAUUGCUGAGCUGUUUUAACCUCUUCUGAUGGGAUUUACCAUUGUAGUGGAUUUGUGCCUGAGCAGCAGAGUUGAGCUGAAUAUUACAAACAUUGCACAAAGUGAAAUUGGUCUGCUUCUUUUCUCUCUCCCUCUUUUCUUCAGUGCUAUCAGCUGCUAAUUCUUUCUCACCAUCCUUGUCUGGGAUGGAUGUGAAAGCUAAAUUGUAUGAGUGGUUAGAAGCUGGUAAGUCAGGGCUCCAGGGUUUCUUCAUGUUUUCGUGCAGCUGCCGGGGCUUGCCGCCCGGCGCCUUCUCCUUCCUGCCGCUCCGCAUCCGCCAGCACGCCGCCCCUCUGCCCAGCGCGCCGGCCAUGCCGCGGGCGGGGCGGCCCCGCGCAGCGCCGGGCCCGGCG